Molecule: ribosomal RNA, 372 nt
Filed under: uncultured organism
Description: partial 16S ribosomal RNA
Rfam family: Bacterial small subunit ribosomal RNA
Source: RNAcentral
GUAGGUGGCAAGCGUUGUCCGGAAUUAUUGGGCGUAAAGCGCGCGCAGGCGGUCCUUUAAGUCUGAUGUGAAAGCCCACGGCUCAACCGUGGAGGGUAAUUGGAAACUGGGGGACUUGAGUACAGAAGAGGAAAGCGGAAUUCCACGUGUAGCGGUGAAAUGCGUAGAGAUGUGGAGGAACACCAGUGGCGAAGGCGGCUUUCUGGUCUGUAACUGACGCUGAGGCGCGAAAGCGUGGGGAGCAAACAGGGAUUAGAUACCCUGGUAGUCCACGCCGUAAACGAUGAGUGCUAAGUGUUAGGGGGUUUCCCGCCCCUUAGUGCUGCAGCUAACGCAUUAAGCACUCCGCCUGGGGAUACGGCCGCAAGGCUG